GAGGGCCUGGGGAUGGCUGCUGGCGGCUGUGUCUCAGCCUAGUGCCUGCUGGCCUCACCCGUGCCCCAGAUCAACCCCCAGAGGUUCCCCUGCUGGGUUCCUCCUAUGCAGUAACAGGUGUGAGCAUCCAUGCAGCAUUCUGAUGGUCAUGUAUGAUACUGCACACAACG
This is a non-coding RNA of Chrysolophus pictus (golden pheasant), 170 nucleotides long. Ensembl annotates it as small Cajal body-specific RNA 16. NCBI's taxonomy places the organism in Eukaryota, Metazoa, Chordata, Aves, Galliformes, Phasianidae. The record is from Ensembl.